RNAcentral lists this long non-coding RNA (18765 nucleotides) under Capsicum annuum. RNAcentral's name for it is "long non-coding RNA (CANN_LNC011020)". Lineage: Eukaryota; Viridiplantae; Streptophyta; Magnoliopsida; Solanales; Solanaceae. The record is from RNAcentral.
UCCUACCUAAUUAAAAAUUUUGAUAAUCCAUCACUAAUAUAUUUCUAAACAUGAUUAGCAAUAAAUUUUACUGUUUAGCUACAAAAAUUCUCCGAUCACUUGUAAUUCAUACUUUUUUUAAGUAGUGAUUAAUCUUCACUAGGCUUUAUCCAGUAUCCACUGCUAUUUUGUUCCUUUUCUCCAACCAUAGAUACUUGAUAUUUCCUAAUCUUGUCUCUUCACCAUAAGCAAUCCCCAACUAUACUCUAUAAUCUUUAUCUAAUUAAAAGCUAGAAAGAAAGAAGAAAAAAGGAGAAAAAUCAGCAGGGACGACCUGAGGAACAUAUAUAUUAUGCCAAAAACGUUAGAAUUUGUGGUUUUGGUUUGUGUUGUAAGCUGUGUAGGUGCAGAACAUAUAAUGUUGGUGGUGGUCUUGGAUGAACUGUUCCUCCUGAUAGAGAAGUUGAUUACAAAAGUUGGGCUGCAAACCAAACCUUCAAAUCUGGAGAUACUUUAGGUAAGCAUGUUAAAAUUCUCUAACUAAAAUUUAGGCAUCAUUUAUUUUUAUUAAGAUUAAGAUUCGUGAAUUUGAAUAUAUAUUUUGUAUUUAAAAAAUAUAUAAUUUAAAUAAAAUAUUAAUCAUCCAUGAUUUGUCCAAUUGGAUGCAUGUAAAGAUUUGGUGAUAUAUAGCUUAAAUUGAUUUAUAAAAAUUUUUGUUAAAUAUUCAUUUGAUUUGUUAUAUCUGAACAUAAUAAAGAGAAAAAAAAUUUAUCAGGUACUUAAACAAAUUAAUCAAAAAAAUUCAAAAAAUAAAAACUUAGUAGAAUUAUUAGAGGCUUGCGUUAUGAUACAUUUCUUAGACCAUUUCAGUCCAAGUGAUUUUUGAGCGGGCCAAUGACAUUUUAACAUGUCUAAAUUUAACUCAACUUGCUCAGUUGAUAUCUCAGGAAUAUCUAGUAGUAACGUGGCCGACAAUAAUAGUUAAUAGUGAUUGUUGAUGGUGAUAGUUGGUGAUGAAGGAGGCUAAUAAUUGUAAUGGAUGAUAGUGAUAAUUAAUAAAAUAGAUGAUCACUAAUAGUGGUGGCUGGCGAUAUAUAGUGAUGAUUGAUUGUAUUGAUUAUAAAUGAUUGUUUUGGUAAUAACAACUAACUAUGGUGACUAGGGGCGAUAUAAUAGCUAAGGAUGGUGAUUGUGGUGAGUGGUAUUAAAUGAUAAUGAUAAGUAAGGAUGAUGGUAGUUGAUAAUAAUGGGCCAUAACAAUAGAUAAUAGUGAAAAUGGAUAUGAUAGUGUUGAAAUGUUGUCUUUGUAGAAAUCUUUAAAAGGUUAACAUCUUAAUAAUAUAUAUAUAUAUACAUAUAUGCAAUAAGUAAUUGUGUAAAAUAAUAUUAUGCAAUAAUUAAGGUUUAGGCAUAACAUAUUUCCUUGAUGAUAAAAAUUCAAAUCAUUACUAAAAUACAAACAAAUGAGCCUUAGUACUUACUAAAAUACCAGUUGCCUUAGCUAAUCAUGAGAUUUUUGUUUAAAUAGUUCUUUAUAUUCUUUUUUAAUAUUUUACUUAAUUGAUGUUCAACUAAUAGGAAGAAUAAGGGUAAAUCUAAAAAAAGAAAACAUGCCUUUCGAUUCAUUUUAUGUAUUUAAUUUGACUAAGUAACAAGUUUAAAAAUAUAAAAAAGACAUUUAAUUUUUGUGAUCUAAAUAAAGAUGUAUAUAUAACACCAAAACUACCAUUUGAAUCUUCUGGCUUAGAAAUAUCAUGGAAUAUCUAUUAGGGAAUCGCAUUAGCCACAGAAUUAAAAUAUUAGAAUAUAAACUUAGAAAAAUAUAAAAAGGUGACAUUCUUUUUUAACUCAAUUUUUCUAAUAUUAUUUUAAUUUUGAAAACCCAUAUAUUUGUUCAAGAUGGUGAUUGACGUCUCUAUGGAACGAAAUUUUAUCAAAUUUGAAUCCGUAUAAAAUUCGAAUUAUAUUAAAUUCAAAGUAUAUUAGUCUCAAAUAAAUAUUGUGGAUUAAUAUAAUUGAAUUAAUUAUUUAAGUCCAAACAUAUAUGGAUGUAAUUAAAUUUUAAUUUUUAUUGGGCUAGCCCAUUGAUUUGGGCUACAAACGAUAAGCCCACUUUGUUAAACCCAAGAUAUUGUCAUAUUCUAGAGGCCUAAAUGAGUGUCACGUGUCAAAUGACAUGGCAUGUCAAGUCAAGUAAAUGAGCCAAUAGGAUCAUGCCACAUAUCACAAUGAUGCAACUGGCCCAAUGAAAUAAAAAGCUCAUCAAAUGUGUCAUGUUAUUUAAAUCUGAUUGACCAAAAGAAGUUCAUCUUCAUCAUGACUCCUUCCUGGCUACAACUAUAAAUAAGAGUCUCAUAAUUAAGAAAAUGGACCAAGAACUCUAACAAGAAGCAAGAGAAAGAUCGUGGAUCAAACACUGCAAUUUCUCUACAAAGCUCAAGCAUUCAAAUUCAGUUCAUCAAGAUUCAAGAUAAAGACCGCAAGAUUCAAGAACAUACUCAAAAGCCCUUGAAUUCAAGCACAAGUCAAGAUCAAGUCCAUCAAAUCAACAAAUCAAGUUCAAAUUCAAGAUCAAGAUUUAAGCCCUUGAAUUUAUAUUUGAAAAGGCGAAUCAGAGGAUUCAUAGAGAUUGUAACACUCACAUUGAAAUCAAUAAAAUGAUUGUUGCAGUAUUUCUCUUGUCUCGAUUAUUUAUUUUUUUCGACUCGAAAAUUUUAUUGUUCAACAAAUUCUGGCAUGCCCGGUGGGACAAAGUUCACCUCUCAUUUCAACUUUUUCAACAUUAAAAUUCAAGAACACUGAAAUGACUUUCACGAUAGAAGAACAGUUGGCAAGCUUGGUUAAAGUAGUUGAAUACUUGACAAAUCAAGUGCAAGAACAAGAUGCUAAACUUGCCAGGUUAAUAAAUAAUAUGGAGAGCAUGUAUGAGAGAGAAUCAAGUCAGACACCCAUGAAACUUCCUGAAUUCAAGCGAAAAGAGAGUCGUUCAUAAAGCAAACAACAACGACCAAAGAGCUUCAAGUCUCUGUUGAAGGUUUGAUUCCUAUUGGUCAAUUGAAAGACUUCAUCAUGGGGGCAAUCAAAGAUAAAUUUAGGUCCUCAUCCAAAUUUUCUCUCAUAUAUACAAAGUUGUAUACACAAAGGAUUGAUAACACGAAGAUGCCUGAUGGAAUCAACCUCCUAAGCUUUAAUAUUUUGACGACAAAGGAAACCCUAAACAAUAUAUAGCGCACUUUAUUGAGACUUGCAAUGAUGAUGGAAUAUAUGGUGAUCAUCUCUUCAAGCAGUUCGUACGAUUUCUCAAAGAAAAUGCCUUUGAUUGGUACACCAACCUUGAACCUAGUUCCAUAGAUAAUUCGGAGCAGUUGGAGCAAAAGUUUCUUAAUCAUUUCUAUAGCAUAAGAAGCGUCGUUAGUAUGACUGAACUUAUAAAGGCUCGCUAACAUGAAUAUGAUCCAGUUGUUGACUUUAUCAAUCGGUGGAGUAGUUUGAGCCUCAACUGUAAAGAUUGCCUCAAUGAAACUUCUAGCAUUGAAAUGUGCAUUCAAGGUAUGAAUUGGGGCCUUUGCUACAUCUUGUAAGGAUUAAAACCUAAUAUAUUUGAAGAGAUGGCAAAUCGUGCGCAUGAUAUAAAAUUAAGCAUGGCUAUAAGAGGAGAUUAACAGAAACUUAUCUGUGAGCCUUACGAAGUUUAAGGUAUAGAAGACCUUCAUAGUGGGGGCAAGUUUACCCUCCGAAUAUGUCUCAGUGCUCCUCAACGCAUGAGCUUAAACUGCAAGUUGUAAAACUCCCCAACGCACGAGUCUGAACUACAAGUUAUAACGCUCUUCAAUGUAUGAGCUUAAACUGUAAAUUACAAAACUCCUCAGUGCAUAAGUCUAAACUGCAAGUUAUAACGCUCCUUGAUCCAUGAGCUUAAAUUGCAUAUCACAGAUCUUCUUAAGUUUAAGAAAAAUAUUAAAGUCACAAGGAUCCUUAAACCUAAGCUAAAUCUCAAGUUUAAUUGCUUCUCAACGCAUGAGCUUAAGAUGCAAGUUAUAAAAAUCCUCAACACAUGAGUCUAAACUGUAAGUUAAAUUGCACCUGAAAACACACGAGCUUAAACUAAGUGUCACGAAGCUCUAUAAAUUUGAGCCAAAUCUCCAAGUUAUAAAGCUCUUCAAAUCUGAGCUAAAACUUUAAAUCACUAUUCAAAUUCAAGUCAAAUCUUGAAAUCACAAAGCUCUUCGAAUUUGAGCUGUCUUUAUGUUGCAAAGCUCACCAAACUACGAGCUAAAUUUUCAAGUCACAAAUUUUUUUAUAUUUGAGCGAAAUCUUUUGGUUGAAAUGCUCCAUGAAACACGAGCCUAAACUAUCUAUCACCAAGCUCUUCAAAUUUAAGCUAAAUGUUAAAAAGUUCAUCAAAUUGUGAGCAAAACUUUCAACUCACAAAGUUCUUCAAAUUUGAAAAAAAAAAUCUAAGUUGAAAUGCUCCUUGAACAUGAGCCUAAACUGUAUAUCACUAAGCUCUUCAAACUUGAGUUAAGUAUUCAAGUCAAAAUGCACCUCGAAACACAAACCUAAACUGUAUGUCACUAAGCUCGUUAAAUUCGAUCUAACUCUUCAAAUCUAAACACUCCUUAAGGAAUGAGUAUAAACUGCAUGUACACUCUUUAAGGUACGAUUAUAAACUGCAUGUUCACUCUUGACCCACAAGAGUAUAAAUUAUGUACGGCUCAAAAAAAAUAUCCGCUAGGUUGAAAACCUCAAAAGAGGUGACCAAGGCAAAUGUGAGGAUGCAAAAAAUAAUAAUAAAAAUAAAAAAUAAAACACUCACCCAGACCUACAUUGUGACUUGUUCCUCUUUACCGAGGUACAUAGGUGCUUAAAAUUUCAUUCUGAGUUCAGUUACAUGAGUGUCAAAAAAAUACAUGUCCCUACUUGAUAUCAAUUAAGUUUUGGUCUUAUGCCAAAUACUUGUGGCUAAAAAAAAUCUCUAUCAAUAGGAUUUGGAAUACUCAAAGCCUUUAGUUUGGGGCAUAGAUCUGCCAAACAUGUAAUUAUCAAUUUUACAAGUCAAAAGUUUUAAUUCGUAAGACUUUCAAACUGAAGUUUCAAGUCUAUCCCGGUUGUGCGACAGGGGCGCUAAGCCAAUAGUCAUCAAGUUUGAAGAGAAAGCCAGAGUUUAAUACUACAACAUCAACACAUCAAAAUAAGCAAGCAAUAGUAAAAGAAAUAUGCAAUGUAAAGAAAAAGAGUUUCGAUUACAACUAAUAGAUCCAACUACUCAAUAAAAGACCAAAAGAAAGCAACAAAAAGGUUUGAAGGAAAAGAAACAUCUCCUAAGGCUAAUCUAAGUAUAGAUUAUAAUUGACUAAAUCUUAUAAAGCAGCCUCUAAGACUUGCUUUUUCUUCUCCACGACCUUUGAGGCAUUUUUUGUUGCCAGAGAGGCCUCAGAACACUUGGAAAACUCUUCUUCAACAGCUGAAACUUUGGAUUCCAUCUCUGCUACUUCUUGCUUGGCAGUAUCUCGGUGAGCUUUUAACUUCUUUACCUUCUUUCUCGCCUUUUCAAGAGAUUUCCAGGAGGAUAAAAUUUUUUUAGAUUUCUUAUCCCUCUCCCUCGACACAAUCUCAAAAUGCUCUUUGGCUUUUAAAUAUGGCUCUGACUCUUUAAUUUUUUUGGUUUUAUCAACAAGGAUGGAUCGUGUUUGGUCAUAGGAAGUCGCAAUCCCAAAGAAAGACCCCAAUAAAUUCUGCAAUGGGGAAAUAUCCGCACCCAUUCCUUUCAUGUCGUUGAGUAUGACUUCGAUAUUAUCUUGGAUAGAAAAAGCAUGAUUUGGAGUAAAGCCUACAAGUUUGGUGCAGAUACUAGCCCAGGCCUUCAUGAUAAACUUUUUUUUAAGCUCUGAGACAACCUUUUUGCCAUAAAAAAUAGACAUGGUUACUGUUGGUCGGCGAGGAAGGUUUGACUCUACAUUUGUUUUAACUUUACCGCAAAGAUCAGAAGUGACCUCUUUGGAUAGUGGAAGUAACUCUCUUGAGUCUAGACCUACUACGGACUUACUACUACCUUGUGUCUUACUUUGGUAAGGAUCUUUCAAAACUUAGACAUUGUCUGUCUGCAUACACGCAAUAAAAACAUUAUAUGAGGGGUAUGUAAAGGUGAUUCAUAUGCUAUGAAAUAGUAGAGAGUUAAUUCAUUACCUUUGCUAUGGCUGGCGGAGUCUUCGAUGAACUAUCAUCACUAGAAAGAAUUUCCACAUGGGAGUCGGAAUCACCUGGCUUGUCCAAAGAUGGUUUUACCUUCUUCCAAAAAUGAUCUUCAUGAAUACUAUCGCUCUCGUCUUGAGGUGUUCAUUUAUUGAAAACCUGUUAAGUUUGGGCAGGCGGCUCCUCUUUUUUAGUUGUUGCAUGCAGGGGUUCCAUGACUUUGUAUGGAACGACUACCUUUGAUUUCAAAAUAGGAGGCUUAACCUUAAUGGGGACCUCCUUACCAUGUUCUUAAGGAGUAUCAAUAAUAGGAGCUAAGGCAUUCACCAAAGAUUGCAAGUUAGCUUCAAGAAAGUUCCCAUAAGCUUUUUCCCACCAAGAUUUAUACGCAGUAGAGAAGUAUUUUCGCACAUUAGGUUUGGCCGUGGGAAAUAUUUCCUUUGCCAUGGAUCCAUGUAAUACAUAAGUGCAAAAAAAUCUGAGUCUUUCAUCAAGGGAUGCACUGCAAAUAUCAUUUUCUAAGCUACCAGGGAGGAGUUGAUAGAAUCCAAACUAACGACCAAAUCGAUGCGGGUUGUAUGGCUCAAGGAUGAAUGAGUCUUCAUACCUUAAAGGGAGAAAGUUAAAAUGGAGACUCAUAAAGUAACUUAUCUCUGACUCAUAAUCUUUAUCACUAUCCAUAAAAUAGUGAAUAUUGGACUUGAUCGACAUGGUAGAAAUCCAAGAAAUGUUAUCUCCUCGGUAGAUACGCUAUUUGGCAUACUUUUCAUCAAAAUAUCUUGCAGAACCUUCUCCAGAAUAUGCUACCAUUAAUGGAGUGGAUGGCCUAUUAGGUAGAUAAAAUGUAUCUUGAAAUAGUAAGCAAGCCAACCAUACACAUAAUGGAUUAAAAAGGAUACUUUGAUGUUCUCAAGAUGAGAACAUUUGGUAAUCCUUUUUAAACCAUUAUAAAUGCUUGACAUGACAGGAACAACAAGACUGAAAGUUUGUUUAUUGGCUAUCCUAGUUGCAAUUCUAAAAGUUCCCGGGCGAAUGAAAUCCCCAUCCUUAGAAGAAAACACAAUGGUACAUAACCAACAUGAUAAAAAUGCUAUCAAAUAUGUAUCAACCCUAUGUCUCUACCAUACUCUAAGUUUAGAAAAUAUUGCAUCAACUGCGCUCGACCACUUUGCUGUAUUAGGAAUAGUCCUAGUUGGGUUAUGUGUUGACUUCAAGCGAACAGAUUUUUUCUUUUUCCUCACUGGAGCUGUCUCAUAUCUCAAGACUCUUUUACACCAAAACUUUAUCCACUUGCUUAGAGUAACUCUUGGAAUAUGAGACUCUACUUCUUGAAGAUGCUGAAAGGCUAAAAAUAAUAAUUCGCCGGUACGAUGGAUGAAUCUCUCAUUCUUCUCAUCAACACCGGUGAGCUCUUUGAAUUCAGGCACUAUUUCUUCAUAAGGAAGACCUCCGAUAGGUAGGCCCCCAAUUUCAUGUAAAUAGAUAACUCUCCAAUCGACGUCAGCAACGUGUUUUUCCUUGAACACCAAGCUUCAAGAAAGGCUUGUAAUAUGUUUGAACUUCGAUCAUAGGUAAAUAGGGAAGCAUAAACAACAUCAUAUACUUUUGCUGCCUUCAAAGUUUGCUGACUUCUAGCCAAGACAUCCUCGGCCCAUUCCCCGUAUCUUUGAGUAUGAUGAAAUUCACCAUUUAUCUCCAUCGUACUGCCCAACAUACAUCUCCCUAGAGUAUUUAGUGCCCUAAGCAAGGAAGGGUGCUCUCAACAUUCAGUUGACUCUGGUUUGGAGUCUGAAGAGUCCAUACUUUAAGGGAUCAAUUAGAACCAAUGUUAUGUUCGAAAGUCCAGUUCAGCAUAUGAAGAGAAUUUAUCAAGGGCGGCCACGGAUCCGCACACCUACCGACUAGUGAAGUGUGAGUCAAUAGCUUGGAUAAAAUUUUACCAUUAUCAGCCUCAAUAAUAAGGAGAUACUUAUUCCUGGAAGAUUGAGUGUUAUAGUACUUAAACUGAACCACUGCUGCAAUCUGCAUGAACAAAUGAGGUUUAGUUAAAUACAAAGUUGAAGUUGGACAAAAUACUUGAACAAAUGGUAGCUCACAGAAAGUUCUGCUAUAUUGUGGCUUUAUUCAAAGAAAAAGGAAAUUCUCACCAUCUUGAAGCCAAAUUGUUCGGUCUUAGAGUGACGGAGGCAAAGUUAAACUCUCGCACCCUAAGCCGAUUGUUGCAAAGCCACUAUCUUAAAGUCAAAUUGGUCGAUCUUAGAGUGUACAGAGGUGAAAUUAAACUCUCGCAUCCUAAGCCGAUUGUUGCAAAUCUACCAUCUUGAAGUCAAAUUGGUCGGUCUUAGAGUGUACGAAGGCGAAGUUAAACUCUCGCACCCUAAGCCGAUUUUUGCAAAGCCAUCAUCUUGAAGUCAAAUUGGCCGGGUCUUAGAGUGUACGGAGGCGAAGUUAAACUCUCGCACCCUUAGCCAAUUGUUGCAAAGCCACCAUCUUGAAGCCAAAUUGGUUGGUCUUAGAGUGCACGAAGGUAAAGUUAAAAUCGCGCACCCUAAGCCAAUUGUGCAUAUUCCUAUUUGUUUCAAUCCUACCAAAAAAAAUAAAAAAGGCGAAGAGACGAAACAAUAAUAAACAAAUUAAGGAAGAAAAACUCACCGAUAAUACUCCGAUUGUGGCACAAUGAUCGACCCGAUGCAAAAGGAGAUCUUCAAUCGGGACAAAAAAAAAUUACUACACUGGAUUAUAAAUUUCAAUAAUGCAUCACCUCUAUUUAUAGAAGAAGCAAGGUGGUUUAUAACCCCUAAUCCAUGAUGAACUUGAAAGGAUUUGAAGAAAUUCUAAUAAAAUAUGGACAAAUGAUGCAAUAGAGGCAGUGUAGUAGUGAUCAAUUCCAAGUACACAUUUGAAUUGGAUACUGAAAUGGUUUCCUCCAAGUAAAAAGAGUCAAUUUCGUCACCUUAUGGCAAAGCAACUGUGAAUUCACAAUAAUUUGUGAUAAAUAUUAUAAUAAUAAUAUUUAAUAAUUAUUAUUAUCAUGAUCACUUAAUAUUGUUUUUGGUAUUUGGGUAUUAUCCUAUCUUGACAUUACACGUGUGAGUUCUUACUGAUUCCAGUUAAAUUAUCAGGUUAAUACUUCAAGUUUAGUCAUCAAUAAAUUAAAUAUCUCGACGGAUCUUGAAUGAGGGCAAUUUUUAUGCAAUGAAAUUUUAUUAAAUUUGAAUGCGUACAAAAUUUGAAUUAUAUUAAAUUCAAAAUAUAUUAGUCCCAAAUAAAUAUUGUGGAUUAAUAUAAUUUAAUUAAUUAUUUAAGUCCAAACAUGUAUGGAUUUAAUUAAAUUUUAAUUUUUAUUGGGCUAGCCUAUUGAUUAGGAUUACAAACGACAUGCCCAUUUUGCUAAGCCUAAGAUAUUGUCAUAUUCUAGAGGCCCAAAUGAGUGUCAUAUGUCGAAUGACGUGGCAUGUCAAGUCAAGUAAAGGAGCCAAUAGGAUCAUGUCAUAUAUCACAAUGAUGCAGCAAGUCCAAUGAAAUUAAAAAAACCCAUCAAAUGUGCCAUGUCACUUAAAUCUGAUUGGCCAAAAGAAGUUCAUCUUCAUCAUGAUUCCUUCCUUGCUACAACUAUAAAUAGGGGUCUCAUAAUUCUGAAAAAAGAACCAAGAACUCUAACAAGAAGCAAAGGAAAGUUAUUGAGUUCAAUUGGUGUGAAUAGAAAAUGAAAUUUUUUUUGGAAGGGAUACAACUCUUCGAGUAAAACACACACUAUUUUGGAAAAAAGUAUGACUGUUUAGAUGGUUGUUGUAAUACCCCGAAAAUUCCAACCGAUAGUAGAACCAUAAUUCAACCUCAUGAGAAAUAAAUUAUAGUUCACUGUUAGUUUGAUGGUCAAGUUUGGUGUGUAUUAAGACCUCAAAUAUGUCCUAGCUAUUAGGUGAAUCAAAACAUCCCUUACCGAUUGAAUUCUUAAGAAUGAUUUUGGUAUAGUCAACUUCAAAUGAGCAUGUAUGCUGUUAUACUGCAAAUUUUUUAGAUAAUUUCUGACCAACAGAUAGAUAAUUGAAUUAUCUUUUCAACGAUACCAAUUUUUCCAAAAUCCGGUAUCGGAGUAAAAAGUUAUGACCGUUUUACUGAGAGUUGUCCGAACUGCCCAGGAGCGACGGGCAAGCUGACGGACCGUCAAGUCAGUGACGGACCAUCGCUCUGGCCAUCGCAACUGAGGCAGUAAGGCUUUUUUAUGGCUCAAAAAUGAUGGUUGGAGUGACGGUCAGUCACUACAGUGAUGUUCCAUCACUAGAGUGACUGUUCGUCACCCAGACCAUCAACUUUGUUCGAAACAUCGUUGAAACAACAUUUUAAAAGGCUUUUUGGGUCUUUUUCCACCCUUUUAACCCCUAAUUACAUCAAAUCAAAGCACAUAAUUUCAUAUUCAUCCAUAGCAUCAAAAUUAGGGUUUCUCUCAAGACUAUCUCCCAAGAACAAUAUUCAAGAACUUUUCAAGAGUACUCAAGAAUCAAAACGUCACCAUUCAAGAACCUUCAUGAAAAGCCUCCAAGAACUUUCUCAGGGUUUUAAAAGUCAACUUGUUCCAUUGAAUAAAGCCAAAUAAGGUAUGUGGGGUUUGAACAAGGACACUCUUUUCGUCCUUGUGCCUAAAAGUUGUUUUAAUUACAAAGAUAUAUGGUUUUACAUGUUUUCUUAUGAAAUUGAAGUAUGGGUUUAUACCUUAUGUUAUUAUUUCUUGAUAUUAUGAUAUUUCCCAUGUUCUAAAAAUUGAAUUAUAUGAGUAUGUCGAUGUUAUAAUGCAUAUUUCUGAAAUUUUCCAGAUUUUGAGAUGAUUUAUGAAUAUUUAUGAUAUCAAAUAUGAAUUUUGAGAUGUUUUAACAUGAUAUUGAUAUAUGGGUCACUAAGCCUUAUUUGAGAUUGUGAUUUUGAGAACUUUUAUGCUAUAAGCACCCAUGAUUUGAGUAUUUUGAGAUUAUUGAGAAAGAUUUGACCUUGACGGUCAUAGUAGCUUUGAAAUCCACUUUACUAAAUGAGAUUACAGAUUUUAUAGUUGGGUUCUUUAUGAACCAUGAUAUUAUUUUAAAAAUGGAUUUACUAUGAGAUGAGUUUAGCUAACUAAAGGUAGUAGUAUUUAACACCGAGUUGGGUAAAUUACUAUGGUUUCAUACCCCAGAACUAUGUGCCACCAUAGAAUUGAGAUUUAUGGGCCCAAGGCCGAGAUAGUGAGCACUAAGUUGAGGUUAUACUCCCUGGAAAGAGCAUGACGCCUCUCCCCAAUGUGAGGUUUCUUCCUUAGGAGGAUUAAACGUUGAACUCCAUGUAGCUCGUAUGGUGUAUGUCGGUUAAGAGAACCUCCCUAAUAGUAAGAUUUUCAGAGUAGUUUCUUAAAGUAUAAUUUUCCCUUGAAGAAAGUAUUUUUUUCCCGGCUAGUAAAAGUAAAUAACAACUUUUGAGUACAUUUCUUAAGGUAAGUAUUUUCCCUAAUGAUUUUAGGAAACCAAGUGUAAAGGCUCACAAAACUUGUUCAGAUAUUGAAUUACUUGAGAUUUUCAGUUACAGAGUUACAGCUUUAGUUUUCAGACACAAACGUGAGCUCCUUUUUCACUUAGCCUAUAUAAAUUGUGAUAAAGUAUUUCUUAUGCAGAAAGAAAUUACAGAUUUUAUUUAUCUUACAAGAUUAUGAGAACAAGAAGAGAAUACAGAUUUUAGAAUUAAAUGUUGUGGCUUACGAGAUUUGUAAAGCAUGUUUUCUUCUUAUUGCUACUUAUUUCAGUAUUUCAGAUAUUCCAGCUUAUGUGAGUCACUUACAUUUAGCAAUGUAUUGAUUUAUAAAUGAUGACUAUGAGAUAUAUUUUUACUUUUGCAUUCACCCCCAUAUACUCAGUACAUCCUCAAAGUACUGAUCCACAUAUAUGUCUAUGUGUUACAUUGUCUCAUAAUGUAGGUACAAGUUUCAGUAUGCAUAUUCAGACUCAGACAGUUGCAAAUUCUAGCCUGUAAGAUGAUGAGUCCUCCUACUUCGAGGACAUCAGUUACACUUAUUUAUAUUCUUUACUUUCUCAUUUAUACGUUUGAUUAGCAAUAAUUGGAGUAGCUUCCCAGCUGUCUAUAGUUAGUUUUAGUAGAGGCUUCAUAGACAGACAGUAGAGUUAAUAUAUUUAAUUUUAGUUUUCUUUGUAAAAGCAGAGUUGUAAUCAUGUGAAUUCAGUUUUGUAUUGAACAUAUUUCAGAAAAGAGUUAUCUUCCACUGAUUUUGAUAGAUUUAGCUAUUUUAUUCAGUUGCUUAUGAGUUAUGCCAGUAGAAGGGUUAGCUUGGGGUCACUUAUGAUUCUAAGCACCAUGUGACGUCUCGGGACCCAUUUUCGAGGAGUUACAAAUUUGGUAUCAGAGAACAAAGUUCAAGUGUCCUAGGGUGUUUGUGAAGAUGUGUCUCGUACAGUCUUGCGGAACGGUAUAGAGAUGUCUGUACUUUUCUUCGAGAGUCUACAGGGAAUUUAGUAAAUGUUUUCCUUCUUUUAAGGCUCAGAUUGUGCUAUAGAAAGGUUCUCUAAGAAACUUAUUCAGAUUCUCAUCUUGCUCUAUUCAGACCAUCUCUGGCUUAUUUUUAAGGUAACAAAAAUAGUUAAGCCUAAAUCUUUACAGAUAGAGCUUUCUUAGACAGUCCCCACAGAUAGUUAUAGGAUUGUACGCAGCCUCAAAAGUAUCUCAUUAAUUCUUUUAAGUUUUGAGUUUUGAAGAACUUCAUUUAUGUUCAUGGAAAUAGUAUGCUAAGCCCAAGUCAGAUGUACUUUCAGAUCGCUCCUUAGAAUCUAUAAUGUUAAUCUAUACUUCUCUAUCUAUGUAAUGUUCUGGAGAUAACAUGAUUGACAAAUUUUAAAUUCCUCUCUUGAUAAUGCUCUUAGAUUUGCUAGCAAAAAGUUUCAGAAUGCACUCAAGGGUUUGAGAAGAUCUCUUUAGUGUGUCAUAAGUCCCUCAAGCUGAAAGUUAUGUCCUCAUUCUUAUGAGUUGUUCAGUUGAUGCAGAAUUAGAUAUGUAUUUAGAUUGCUCGUUGACCUUUUUAAUACAGAUAAUACUCAUGAGAGGAGAUAGUAUGAACCUAGACUGUCAAGUGUAGUGUGCAUUUGAGGGAUAUUAUGAACUUCAGUGUUAUGAUUUAUGAAUAGUAGAACCUUAUUAUAGUUGGAAGUAUGGGUAUAGAAGAGAAGUGUCAAGAGGAUGUGGGAAUGACGAUUGGUAGGAAGUAUAGAUGUAAGCUUAUGCAUGUUAUCGAGAUACGUUAAGGUGAUAUGUCCCUAUGUGUUAGUUUAGUGGAAGGUAGCGACGGAGUUAUUAGUAAGGUGAAUCGUUGUUGCUUGAAGUAUGGGAAGAUUUAUUGGUAGUAUUUAUUGUGUUUGAAAAGUAUAGUAUAUUAAUGAAGCAUCUGGUGGUCUAGUGGCAUUAAUUUAGGUUUCCCUUGAGGCGACAAAGAGGUUGUUUAGUUGAGACUUAUAGAGCUAUGAUAGUAAUUCAAAUGUAUAAAAUGGUAAAUAGUAAUGAAGUGUAGAAGGAGGAUGUGUUAAUGUAUUAUGAUAAGAUAGGCCUUAUCAUUUUGAUUGAUUAUUGUUGCUCGAAAGUUCAAAUGAAAUAGUGUUUCUUGAUGUUAUAUUUUAUAGUUUUCGAGGGAGAAUUGUAAGUAAGGUGAGUUGUCAAAUCAUGCUUGACACUAGACAUAAAGUUUGAAUAGUGGAUGGUUACCAAGGUGGGUAUGAUGAUUCCCUGGUUAGUGUGGCUAAUUGUAUGGGAGUAAUCUUGUAGGCUUGAACCAUGUAUAAAAGAGUUUGAGUUUAGUUAUUCGUCAUUAAGUAUGGUGUUGCAAGUAUAAUGUGCAACUGUAUGCUCAAGGUAAUAUAGUGUUGCUUUGUCUUUCUAAGGUUAUUACGUGUUGUGUAUGGUUGGUAAUACCCUUGAUCUAAUAAGUAUGAAUGAGGUUGUGUAGUAUAUGGUGUUCUUGUCAGUUAACUUAUGGGUUAUAGGUUGGUGAUGUGGUAUGUUAGAGAUGUGAUAUUAGCAGAAUAUAAAGGAAGUUUAGCCUAGGUUUAGAGAUAUCUAUGUUUAGUGUUAGAAUCUAAGUUGGCGAGUGUUUAAGUUGUUAUAUGAUGGCUUAUGGGGCUAUAGAAAUCUAAAAGUUGAAUCUUAGAAGGAGGUGUUAGCAUUGGGUGUUAUAUGUGAAGAUACAGUCCUUCAGGGUAAGUUUAGUUUUAUUUGUAUUGAUUUUAUCCCAGACUCUAGAAUAAAGUGAUUGCGGUUUAGAUUAAAGCUUAUAUAGUGGUUCACAAACUGAGAGUGAUGGCUUAAGUCUAAAGGGGAGAUGACAGAAGGAGUAACCAAGUCAGACUUCGAGAUUCUUGUUGAAAUGCCUAGUAGUGUAGAAAACCCGUAAGAGAGGAUGAUGCCCAACCCAUUCUUAUUUCAGUAUUUUCAGUUAUACCAAUACCUACUCAUGCCUUAUGUUUUAGUUCCAUGAUUAUAGUUCAUGUUCAUGCAUAUGAUAGAGAAUCAUGUGCCCUCCUAGUUCCCAAAAAGAGAAGUUCCAGUUCUUUCAAUAGUUGGAAUCACAUUCCAUAAGUGAUAAACUCCAAAUUUAGGUCAUGCAGCUCAUGACUCAUGUACUCAAGGUUUACAAUAUGUUUAGUUCAAGCACUCAAGCAAUACUCUUAAUGAUCAGCGUAAUUCGAAUUUAUAUCAUGCAUGUCCUCAGAUCAAACCUCUUUGAUGAGUUCAUGAUGUUAAAUAUUGUAUUCCUCAAGCCUCAAUUGAGUGUCAAGUUAUACACAGUAUCCUUUCAUGUUUCAAGUCCUUAUGUUCUAACCUUUUAUUACAUUUCCUUAGGUCAAGAUAGUGAUGACGAACAGUUGUAUGGAUAGGAGAGAGUAAACAUUUCUUGUUAGUGAAAGAUUGUUGAAUGCUUAUUUUAGCUAAGGCUAUAAGUGUGAAGUAGGAUUGAGGCCAAGUCGUUGAUACACGUCAUGGUUAGUUAAAGUUUUAUAUGUUAUGUGUGAGUAGUUGAAAUUUUAUGUAUGUCUUCUUAAGAAUAGUGCACGGAAGUUGUUCUUGAUAGAGGUUUGUAGGUUAUGGACAAGAUGUUUAUGAGCAUUUGUAUAGAAGUGCAUAUGGGGUUAUGAAGAUAGGCUUGAAUGUCAUGUUUGUAUACAAGCGGAGGGAUGCAUUGAGCAUUAGUAAUGUCUAGUACUAUGAGUAUUGUAGUUGUUGGAGUGGUAAUGAGGAUUAUUCUGGAGAUAAGAAGUUGUAAGAAGUGCAUAUGCGUGUGAAUAUAUGAUUCUGACUGGUGUUAUGUUCUGGUGUUAUGUGUGAUACCUUGUGAUUUUGAGUUAGGAAUAACCAUAACGAGAGAGUUGGGUUCAGUUAGACUUUGGUAGAUGUAUUUGUCAACGGCCAUGUGAGAAUUAUAAGUUGAGUCAAUGAGUAUGGUGUUUAAGGGGAAAGUUUAGUUAAGAGAGUAUUUUAGAAGUGUGGCUAAGCUUUAAAAUGAGAAGUUGCAUUUCUUGAGGCCUAGUACUUCUAUCCCGACUUAGAAAGGUGUUGAAGAAAGACCCUAUUUGGUGGAGAGCAUUCAGCAUAAUUUAGUCCGUGCAGCCAGAAAUUCGUUUUACAUCUUCUAAUUUAGUCUAGUCUCACUACCUAAAAAUUUUGUGAGUAUGACCAUUUCAAGAGAUAUUUUGUUCGCAUCCAAGUAGAUUUCAAAAUUCAGUUCAGUACAUGCAUUAUGCAUUAGUUCCAGAUUCAGAUAUUAGGUCAUGGUUCAAUCCGUAAGUAUCCUAUAUAUCAUCUUAGUCUUUUCUAGUAUUUCAACCAAAUUAGUAUCAUUCGGGAAUGAAUGAUCUCGGGGAGGGGUGUUAUAAUACCCCGAGUUUUAAUGCCAUAAACCUCUCAUCUCUUCUCUGCGAACUCGAACACAGCCGAAGGUGAUAGCCUUCUUUAAUUCAGUUCUUUUCUAAUCAAAGAUUCAACAAUAUAGCUAUUCUUAUUAUAAGUUCAUGCAUUCCCAGAAGUACUCAAAGGGUUAGAAUGAUUUAGAAUUAUUUUAGUAAUAUAUUUCAGCUAUGCAUCCUCAAUUUUCUCAGCUAGCCAACCACAUUUGAGGGCGAAUGUUCCUAAGGGAGAGAUAUUAUAAUACCCCAAGAAUUUCAACCGAUAGUGGAACCAUGCUUCAAAAUCAUGAGAAGUAAAUUAUAGUGAAUUAGUAGUUUUAUGGUCAAGGUUGGUGUGUAUUAAGACCUCAAAUAUGUCCUAAAUAUUAGGCAAAUCAAAACAUCCCUUACCGAUUGAAUUCUUGAGAAGGAUUUUGAUAUAGUCAACUUCAAAUGAGCAUAUCUUUUUUUAUAUUGCAAAUUUUUGAGAUCAUCACCCGCUAAUAGAUAGAUAAUUAAAUUAUAUUUCUAAUGAUACCAAUUUUGCCAAAAUCCGGUAUCGGAGUAAAACGUUAUGGCCGUUUUACUGAGAGUUGUCUGAACUGCCCAAGAGCGACGGGAAAGCUGACGGACCGUCAAGUUAGCGAUGGACCGUCGCUCUGGCCAUCACAAUUGAGGCAGUAAGACUGUUUUCUAGCCCAAAUUUGAUGGUUGGAGUGACGGUCAGUCACCAGAGUGACGGUCCAUCACCCAGACCAUCAACUUUGUCCGAAACAGCGCUGAAAUGACGUUUUAAAGGGCUUUUUAGGUCUUUUUCCACCCUUUUUAACCCCUAAUUACUUCAAAUCAAAGCACAUAACUUCAUAUUCAUCCAUAGCAUCAAAAUUAGGGUUUAUCUCAAGACUAUCUUCUAAGAACAAUAUUCAAGAAAUUCUUCAAGAGUACUCAAGAAUCAAAACGUCACCAUUCAAGAACCUUCAAGAAAAGCCUCCAAGUACUUUCUCAAGGCUUCAAAAGUCAACUUUUUCCAUUGAAUAAAGCCAAAUAAGGUAUGUGGGGUUUGAAUAAGGACACUUCUUUCAACCUUGUGCCCAAAAGUUAUUUUAAUUACAAAGAUAUAUGGUUUUACAUGUUUUCUUAUGAAAUUAAAGUAUGGGUUUAUACCCUAUGUUAUUAUUCUUGAGAUUAUGAUAUUUCCCAUGUUCUAAAAAUUGAAUUAUAUGAGUAUGUUGACGUUAUAAUGCAUAUUGCUGAAAUUUUCCAGAUUUUGAGAUGAUUUAUGAAUAUUUAUGAUAUCAAGUAUGAAUUUUGAGAUGUUUUAACAUGAGAUUGAUAUAUGGGUCAUUAAGCCUUAUUUGAGAUUAUGAUUUUGAGAACUUUUGUGCUAUAAGCACCCAUGAUUUGAGUAUUUUGAGAUUAUUGGAAAAGCUUGACCUUGACGGUCAUAGUAGCUUUGAAAUCCACUUUACUAAAUUAGAUUAAAGAUUUUAUAGUUGAGUUCUUUAUGAACCAUGAGAUAAUUUUAAAAGUGGAUUUCCUAUGAGAUGAACGUAGCUAACUAAAGGGAGUAGUAUUUAUCAUCAAGUUGGGCAAGUUACUACAGUUUUAUACCCCAGAACUACGUGCCACCAUAGGAUUGAGAUUUAUGGGCCCGAGGCCGAGAUAGUGAUCACUGAGUUGAGGUUAUACUCCCUGGCAAGAGUAUGACACCUCUCCCCAACGUGAGGUUUCUUCCUUAGGAGAACAAAACAUUGGAAUCCGUGUAGCUCACAUGGUGUAUGUUGGUUAAGAGAACCUCCCUAAUAGUAAGAUUUUCAGAGUAGUUUCAUAAAGUAUAAUUUUUCGUUGAAGAAAGUAUUUUUUUUCCCUGCUAGUAAAAGUAAAUAACAGCUAUUGAGUAUAUUUCUUAAAGUAAGUAUUUUCCCUAAUGAUUUUAGGAAACUAAGUGUAAAGGUUCACAAAACUUGUUCAAAUAUUAAAUUACUUGAGAUUUUCAGUUACAGAGUUACAGCUUUAGCUUUCAGACACAAAGGUGAGCUCUUUUUUCACUUAGCCUAUAUGAAUUGAGAUAAAGUAUUUCUUAUGCAAAAAGAAAUUUUAGAUUUUAUUUAGUUUACAAAAUUACGAGAACAAGAAGAGAAUACAGAUUUUAGAAUUAAAUGUUGUGGCUCAUGAGAUUUGUAAAGAAUGUUUUGCUUCUUAUUGCUACUUAUUUCAGUAUUUCAGAUAUUCCAGCUUAUGUGAGUCACUUACAUGUAGCAAUGCAUUAUUUUAUAAAUGAUGACUAUGAGAUAUGUUUUUACUUGUGUAUUCACCCCCAUAUACUCAGUACAUCCUCAAAGUACUAAUCCACAUACAUGUCUACGUGUUACAUUGUCUCAUAAUGUAGGUACAAGUUUCAGUAUGCACAUUCAGAAUCAGACAGUUGCAGACUCCAGCCUGUGAGAUGAUGAGUCCUCCUACUUUGAGGACUUCAGUUACACUUAUUUAUAUUCUUUACUUUCUCAUUCAUACUUAUUGAUUAGCGAUAAUUGGAGUAGCUUUCCAGCUGUCUAUAGUCAGUAUUAGUAGAGGCUUCAUAGACAGAUAGUAAGUUAAUAUAUUCAAUUUCAGUUUUCUUUAUAAAAAUAGAGUUGUAAUAAUGUGAAUUCAAUUUUGUAUUGAACAGAUUUCAGAAAAGAUUUAUUUUCCA